Molecule: ribosomal RNA, 701 nt
Filed under: uncultured Fusobacteriota bacterium
Lineage: Bacteria; Fusobacteriati; Fusobacteriota
Description: bacterial SSU rRNA
Rfam family: Bacterial small subunit ribosomal RNA
Source: RNAcentral
ACACAUGCAAGUCGACUCGAGUCUUCGGACUUGGGUGGCGCACGGGUGAGUAACGCGUAAAGAACUUGCCUCUUAGACCGGGACAACAUCUGGAAACGGAUGCUAAUACCGGAUAUUAUGGUUUUUUCGCAUGGAGGAAUCAUGAAAGCUAGAUGCGCUAAGAGAGAGCUUUGCGUCCCAUUAGCUAGUUGGUGAGGUAACGGCCCACCAAGGCAAUGAUGGGUAGCCGGCCUGAGAGGGUGAACGGCCACAAGGGGACUGAGACACGGCCCUUACUCCUACGGGAGGCAGCAGUGGGGAAUAUUGGACAAUGGACCACAAGUCUGAUCCAGCAAUUCUGUGUGCACGAUGACGUUUUUCGGAAUGUAAAGUGCUUUCAGUCGGGAAGAAGUCAGUGACGGUACCGACAGAAGAAGCGACGGCUAAAUACGUGCCAGCAGCCGCGGUAAUACGUAUGUCGCAAGCGUUAUCCGGAUUUAUUGGGCGUAAAGCGCGUCUAGGCGGCAAGGAAAGUCUGAUGUGAAAAUGCGGAGCUCAACUCCGUAUGGCGUUGGAAACUGCCUUACUAGAGUACUGGAGAGGUAGGCGGAACUACAAGUGUAGAGGUGAAAUUCGUAGAUAUUUGUAGGAAUGCCGAUGGGGAAGCCAGCCUACUGGACAGAUACUGACGCUAAAGCGCGAAAGCGUGGGUAGCAAACAGG